UGAUGCAGCGACGCCGCGUGAAGGAAGAAGUAUCUCGGUAUGUAAACUUCUAUCAGCAGGGAAGAAAAUGACGGUACCUGACUAAGAAGCCCCGGCUAACUACGUGCC
RNAcentral lists this ribosomal RNA (108 nucleotides) under uncultured bacterium. Its description in RNAcentral is "partial 16S ribosomal RNA". It matches the Rfam family "Bacterial small subunit ribosomal RNA", at positions 384 to 509 of the family's 1533-position model. The record is from RNAcentral.